RNAcentral lists this ribosomal RNA (253 nucleotides) under uncultured bacterium. Its description in RNAcentral is "partial 16S ribosomal RNA". It matches the Rfam family "Bacterial small subunit ribosomal RNA", at positions 524 to 776 of the family's 1533-position model. The record is from RNAcentral.
UACAGAGGGUGCAAGCGUUGUUCGGAAUUAUUGGGCGUAAAGAGCUCGUAGGCGGUCUGUCGCGUCGGCUGUGAAAACUCGGGGCUCAACUCCGAGCUUGCAGUCGAUACGGGCAGGCUAGAGUUCGGCAGGGGAGACUGGAAUUCCUGGUGUAGCGGUGAAAUGCGCAGAUAUCAGGAGGAACACCGGUGGCGAAGGCGGGUCUCUGGGCCGAUACUGACGCUGAGGAGCGAAAGCGUGGGGAGCGAACAGG